Molecule: ribosomal RNA, 438 nt
Filed under: Leptogryllus kauaiensis
Lineage: Eukaryota; Metazoa; Arthropoda; Insecta; Orthoptera; Gryllidae
Description: partial 16S ribosomal RNA
Rfam family: Archaeal large subunit ribosomal RNA
Source: RNAcentral
GUCCUUUUGUGUUAAUAUAAGGUCUUACCUGUUCACUGAUAWAUAUAAAUAUUAAAGAACCGCGGUAUUUUGACCGUGCAAAGGUAGCAUAAUCAUUAGUCUUUUAAUUGAGGGCUGGAAUGAAUGGUGUGACGAAAUAAUUACUGUCUCUUGAUGAAAUAUUGAAUUUUACUUUUAAGUUAAAAGGCUUAAAUUUAUAUAAGGGACGAGAAGACCCUAUAGAUCUUUAUAAUUUUGUAUGAAAAUUAUUUAAUUAGAUGUUUAAAGGAUUUUUGUAUGUGAUUAUUUUGUUGGGGUGACAUGAAAAUAAAUAAACUUUUUAAAUUGAUUACUUAAAUAARAGGRUUUUUGAUCUUUUAUUAUAAAUGUUAGAUUAAGAUACCUUAGGGAUAACAGCGUUAUUUCUUUUGAGAGUUCAUAUCGACAAUGAAGUUUGCG